Molecule: long non-coding RNA, 3184 nt
Organism: Anas platyrhynchos (mallard)
Lineage: Eukaryota; Metazoa; Chordata; Aves; Anseriformes; Anatidae
Source: RefSeq, a predicted model, not a curated record
GACAAAGUGCUAGAGACUGACCGCAGCCCCCGUGCCCUGUUUCCCUGUGCUGCUCAGGGGAAGGAGGUGGAAGAGGGUAGAUGGGGGCAAGGUGUUUUUGGUUUCUUUGUUUGUUUCUCACUGAUCUCACUUGUUAAUAAUACGUAAUAAAUUUUAUUCAUCUCCCUAUGCUGAGUCAGUUUUGUCUGUGAUGAUAUUUGUUGAGUGAUCUCUCCAUACUUAUCUCAACCCUUGAGCCCUUUCAAUAAUAUUUUCCCUCCCUUUCCCUUUGAGGAGAGGGAGUGAGAGAGUGGUUGUGGUGGAGCUCAGCUGCCCAGCUGGCUAAAACCACCACAGCUGGGGAGAAUGAUGCCAACGAGCUCUGUCUCUGCUCUUCCUUCAUGCCCUCUUCAGCUGCAGCUGAAUCACACAACUCUGACAUCUUCCUGGGCAGCCCAAGCAUAAAACAGAGUAAGGAAUAUUCCUGGUGAUUGUUUACUCUGGCCUUAUUAGGAAGAUAGGAGGAGGAUUCACCCAGAACAGCUGAGAUGGUGGUGAGGAUUGCUGGGAGAGAAGGAAGGGAUGGAUAAAGAAAGUAGUGGGAAGCUGAAAAAUGUCAUAAAACUUAGAGCAGCAUUGCUACCUUCUGGGAAUGUAGAGGGUCUCAGAAGUGUGUUUGUUGUAUGUUAGACGUCUGUCCAUCAAUCUAAUGAAUCAGUUCUAAACCACAUUUUUCAAAGAGGAACUUAAAAAUAUGUGAAGAAAUUAAGGAGAAAACAAACAAAAAGUUCCAGUUUAUUUCUAAACACUUGUGAGAAAUCCUGGCCAUUAAUCCCCAAAACAGUCAUCACAUGGCUCAGGACAAUUACUACUGGACAAGACACCAGUGGUCUAGUUUUUCAGAGAUAAUGAAAACAUGCAACUACUUUUCACUUGUUUCAGUAGAGUUUAUAGAUUUGCAGCACUUCUGCAAAACACAGUGUAGGAAACGAUCCCAUUGGCAAAUUGUGGUGGCAAAAUAAGUUUGAUUAUGCCAAAGGACAAAAAUGUUUGUUUGUUUGAAUUUUUAUUAAGUAUUUCUGUUAGAAGUUUGGAUUCUGCAAUUGAGUAUGUUUGCCAGAUCUUCAUUUGCUUUAGUUAUCAAGCCAGGAAGUACUUGUUAAACUCUGGUAGAAUUGAUCAGAUCUGAAAUCAUCUUUAGUUAGCUUUAAUUGAAAAUAUUUGUAUUUCACUUUUCUCCCUACAAUCUAAAUUCUUUGUCAGCAUUUGUUGAAGAAGCAGAGACUACCAGAGGAAGUAUUGGAGAGUACAAUAUAAAAGAAACAAGAGAACUUGCUCGACUUUUAGCAUGGCAAGCCAUUCUUUAUUUCUGUGCUCUUUUGAGCAGGCUGUCACUAGCUCUAAAUCACAACAGUGUCUGAUUCAUCCUUUCUCACACAGAGGAAUGGGAAUACAAAAUAGGUUGUUAAUUUUUCCAGAUGCGUACUUUCUGCUUGCUGGCUUGAUUUUUAAAGAAAGUAGCAGAUACAAGGUUUGUCAUUGCCAUCAUGUUAACUACCUCUAAAGAACUGAGGGCUUAAAAUAAAUAAAUAAAUAAAUAAAUAAAGAUGAGAUCACACAAAAUUAGCAGCCCCACACUGGUUGCUCAUGAGGCAAUUAACCAAUAUAUGGUAUGAGUACCUCUGAAGGAAAUUCACAUAGAAACUCACUUAGUGCCUGUUAUCUGCAUCCCAUGCAGGUCUAAAGUUAGCCUCCAGCUCCAAUUCGAUCCAAAGUAGAAUACAAACAGUAACUGAUGCUAGCAUGAGGCUCUGAAAAUGGAAAUGGCUCUGCAAGUGCUGCUGCCAUUCAUCUCUGUUAUGGAGAUGUCAAAUAUAUGCCCAAAGGCCCUUUUUGCAUCUAUCAAUCCACACUUUUAGAAGAUACAAAACUUCACACUAAAUGUAUAAAUGGAACAAUGAAUAAAACCUAUGUGGGUGAGCAAGAUUAUUAAAUAUAAGAAAAAUGGACUUGAGUCUCUAUUUGUAUUUACAGGCACAUUUGCUGUAACUUCCUUCUGUGUCUGUAUGCUGAAAAACAAUAUAGAGUUGAUCUGUUGUAGAGUACGUUUUUAUUACUUGGCUAAUGCUAGCCAGGUGUUGGUAAGGAAUACAAUCCAUCUGUUAUCAAACCAAGUGGUGCAGUGAUUUUAUUGGAAAUCAGGAUAUCACUCUUGAGAACUUUCCCAGCAAAAACAGAACAGAGCUUUCCUUCCCCCUCCCUCACAAAGAAAAUUCGUCAGAUGCCUGAGCAGGGACUUACUAUGGAGCCCAAGACUUCUUGGAGCCUGGGACAUGGCUUAUGAGUGACCUGCUCUAGUUCUCACCUGACAUGAAGGAAGCUUGUAAAGCUUACUGACUUGUUAUGCUUUUUCACACACAUACCCGCUCACCUCCUCCCACCCAGCUCUGCAGGAGGACACCACCACUCUCACAAAGCCCAAGCUCAGCUGAAGGCUCUGGUGAUCUGGGCAGUGAGAAAUUAAAAAAGGACCUUAGAGUCAAAUGUUCUUAGAAAACAGAAGAACAAAUGCUGGUUGUACGGCCUCCGUUCGCCCUGCCGAGUCCUCUGCAACUGCCCCUGAUGAUCUGAACACCAUCUCUCCAUGAUGCUCCUCUCAGUCCGUGCAGAACUGGACUUUGCAUUAAGAAACAGUCCAGGUGGCAAAUUGAAAACAAGAAGAAAAAAAUAUGUAUUUCUAUACAACUGUGGGCUGCAUUGCUGAGGGACUUUGGGGCAGAUAGCAAACAAGGCUGAGCUGUACAGUAACAGAAAGAAUGGGUUUGUGUCUGCAUCAGCUGAGACUGGUUUAAGUCAUGCCUGUAACACAAAAAAUAUGAAAACAAAUAAAAAACAGAUAUAUAUUUUUUUAAAGGACAGAUGAAGAGUAUUUUUCUUUCUAGAGGAAAAUAAAUUUAUGCUAAUCUCAUUUACCCUGAAACCAAACCACUUAUUAGUUUUAUUCUCUGCCUGUCAUACAGCACAUGCUGUAUCUCUCCAGAAACAAUCAUGCCACCUGACUUUGACUGUACUCCAUUUUGUGGCAACCAGUGAGACAGAGGCAAAUCUCAGUGCUAAGCUUUGCGAGUGGUACAGUUAUCCACCAGGCUCCGAGUCAGGAAAACACUCUAUUGAUUUAACGUUCUGUGCAGCAGUUGUUUGGAUA